Molecule: ribosomal RNA, 460 nt
Filed under: uncultured bacterium
Lineage: Bacteria
Description: partial 16S ribosomal RNA
Rfam family: Bacterial small subunit ribosomal RNA
Source: RNAcentral
CCUACGGGUGGCAGCAGUGAGGAAUAUUGGUCAAUGGACGCAAGUCUGAACCAGCCAUGCCGCGUGCAGGAAGAAGGUGCUAUGCAUUGUAAACUGCUUUUAUACGGGGGUAAUUCCCGAUACGUGUAUCUGGCUGAAAGUACCGUAUGAAUAAGGAUCGGCUAACUCCGUGCCAGCAGCCGCGGUAAUACGGAGGAUCCGAGCGUUAUCCGGAUUUAUUGGGUUUAAAGGGAGCGUAGGCCGCAUGUCAAGCGUGCUGUGAAAUGUCCGGGCUCAACCCGGGCCUUGCAGCGCGAACUGGCGUGCUUGAGUCCGCGGAAAGCAGGCGGAAUUCGUCGUGUAGCGGUGAAAUGCUUAGAUAUGACGAAGAACCCCGAUUGCGAAGGCAGCUUGCUGCAGCGGAACUGACGCUGAUGCUCGAAAGCGCGGGUAUCGAACAGGAUUAGAUACCCCUGUAGUC